Molecule: non-coding RNA, 1048 nt
Organism: Salvelinus namaycush (lake trout)
Lineage: Eukaryota; Metazoa; Chordata; Actinopteri; Salmoniformes; Salmonidae
Source: the annotation of a RefSeq genome assembly
AUGCGAGGGGUUCCACUGUACUGUGCUAACAGUGCCAGCCAGGCUUACUUCGGUGGAGGAACCAGGUUAACUGUCCUAGAGCCAGGCCUCACUGUCUCUCCACCCAAAGUGAAAGUCCUUCCACCCUCCACUAAGGAGUGUGAAGAUAGAAACAAGAAGAAGAAGAAGACCCUGGUGUGUGUGGCCACCGACUUCUACCCCGACCACGUCACUGUGUUCUGGCAGUUGAAUGGAGGCGCCAACAUCACCGAUGGAGUUGGGACCGACAACACGGCCUUGAGUGGUAAAAACAAACUCUACAGUAUCACCAGCAGACUGAGAGUCCCAGCCAGGAAAUGGAACAAGGCCUCUAACAGAUUCACCUGCACCGUCCGCUUCUUCAAUGGGACCACUGACAUAUAUGUUGCAGAUCACAUUAACGGAGAAGAAGGUCAAGGUGGUGAUGGAGGGAUUACGACAGAGUACUAUGUGAGGAGCACUAAGACUGCCAAGCUGGCCUACAGCAUCUUCAUCGCUAAGAGUACCUUCUACGGCCUGGUCGUCAUGGCUCUGAUUUGGAAGUUUCAGCGCUCCUCAGAUAAACAGAUGUAAUUGAUCACUGACCGAGACCCGGCCACCCGUGGAAGCUGAGCUCGGUGGACUGGAGGGCGUCAAGUGUGGCAUAAGGUUCUGGUGAAAAGUAGUGCACUAUAAAGUAGUGCACUAUAAAGUAGUGCACUAUAAAGUAGUGCACUAUAAAGGGAAUAGGGUGCCAUCUGGGACGAAGAACAAACCCAUGUCUGUCAUGUGAUUACAAUGUACAGUGUGCUUUCUAUUAACUGUCACUCUACAAUGUGAGGAUGUAUUUUAUCGUCCCCAAUAAACAGAAUCUUUAUUAAUGUAUUCACUGAGUGUACAAAACAUUAAGAACACCUUCCUCAUAUUGAGUUGCAACCCCCCCCCGGGGCAUGGCCUCUACAAGGUGGCGAAAGCGUUCCACAGGGUUGCUGGCCCAUGUUGACUCCAAUGCUUCCCACAGUUGUGUCAAAUUGGCUGGAUGUCCUUUGGC